UACGUAGGGGGCAAGCGUUGUCCGGAAUCAUUGGGCGUAAAGCGCGUGUAGGCGGCUCGAUAAGUCUGCUGUAAAAGUCCAGGGCUCAACCCUGGAAAGCCGGUGGAAACUGUCGAGCUAGAGUCCGGAAGAGGCGAGUGGAAUUCCUGGUGUAGCGGUGAAGUGCGCAGAUAUCAGGAAGAACACCCGUGGCGAAGGCGGCUCUCUGGGACGGUACUGACGCUGAGACGCGAAAGCGUGGGGAGCGAACAGG
RNAcentral lists this ribosomal RNA (253 nucleotides) under uncultured bacterium. RNAcentral describes it as "partial 16S ribosomal RNA". It matches the Rfam family "Bacterial small subunit ribosomal RNA", at positions 524 to 776 of the family's 1533-position model. The record is from RNAcentral.